GUAGGAGGCAAGCGUUAUCCGGAUUCACUGGGCGUAAAGCGCGUGCAGGCGGUUCGGUAAGUUGGGCGUGAAAUCUCCUGGCUUAACUAGGAGAGGUCGUUCAAUACUACCGGACUUGAGAGUGAUAGAGGAAGAUGGAAUUCCCGGUGUAGUGGUGAAAUGCGUAGAUAUCGGGAGGAACACCAGUGGCGAAAGCGAUCUUCUGGAUCAUUUCUGACGCUCAGACGCGAAAGCUAGGGUAGUAAACGGGAUUAGAGACCCCGGUAAUCCUAGCCGUAAACGAUGUAAACUUGGCGUCGGUGGCUUAAACUCCAUCGGUGCCCCAGCUAACGCGAUAAGUUUACCGCCUGGGGACUACGAUCGCAAGAUUA
RNAcentral lists this ribosomal RNA (371 nucleotides) under uncultured bacterium. RNAcentral describes it as "bacterial SSU rRNA". It matches the Rfam family "Bacterial small subunit ribosomal RNA", at positions 527 to 896 of the family's 1533-position model. The record is from RNAcentral.